UAUGGGACGAGAAGACCCUAUAGAAUUUUAUAGUUAAUUUUUAGUUAAUUUAAUUUAUGUAAUUAUUAAUUAUUUUGUUGGGAGGACAUUUAAAUUUAUUUAACUUUAAAAAAUUUAACCAAUUAUUUUUGAUUUAAAGUAAGAUAGUUUAUUUAAAAUUAUUAGAUAAAAUUACCUUAGGGAUAACAGCGUAAUAUCUUUGGAGAGAUCAUAUUUAUAAAGAUGAUUGCGACCUCGAUGUUGAAUUAAGAUAUAAUUUAAAUGCAGGAGUUUAAAUUUUAAGUCUGUUCGACUUUUAAAAUCUUACAUGAUUUGAGUUCAGAUCGGCGUGAGCCAGAUCGGUUUCUAUCUAUA
RNAcentral lists this ribosomal RNA (354 nucleotides) under Andrena haemorrhoa. Its description in RNAcentral is "16S ribosomal RNA". The stretch from base 182 to 340 matches the Rfam family "Bacterial large subunit ribosomal RNA", at positions 2473 to 2632 of the family's 2925-position model. The record is from RNAcentral. Lineage: Eukaryota; Metazoa; Arthropoda; Insecta; Hymenoptera; Andrenidae.